CCGGUGGACGACGGAUCGCCGCGCGGCGGGCAACCGCUCGCGCGGAGGAAAGUCCGGACUCCGCAGGGCAAGGCUUCCUGGUGUAGUGCCGGGAGGGGCGCGGGCAAACCGCGCUGACGGACAGUGCCACAGAAAACAAACCGCCGGCUUCGGCCGGCAAGGGUGAAAAGGCGGUUUAAGAGACCACCGUGCGGGUCGGCAACGGCCCGCGCAAGGCAAACCCAGCCUGGAGCAAGAUCAAAUAGGGGGCGUCGCACGGCCCGUGCACGCCGCGCGCCGCAAGGCGCAGGCAGCGCCCCGGGUUGAUUGCCAAGAUGAAUGAUCCGAACCGCCCGCGAGGGCGAGUACAGAAUCCGGCUUAUGAAUCCACCGGCCCG
RNAcentral lists this RNase P RNA (377 nucleotides) under Lentisphaerota bacterium. RNAcentral's name for it is "Lentisphaerae bacterium (anaerobic digester metagenome) RNase P RNA component class A". It matches the Rfam family "Bacterial RNase P class A". From Rfam's summary of the family: Ribonuclease P (RNase P) is a ubiquitous endoribonuclease, found in archaea, bacteria and eukarya as well as chloroplasts and mitochondria. Its best characterised activity is the generation of mature 5'-ends of tRNAs by cleaving the 5'-leader elements of precursor-tRNAs. The record is from RNAcentral. Lineage: Bacteria; Pseudomonadati; Lentisphaerota.